AAACGAUGUCGACUUGGAGGUUGUGCCCUUGAGGCGUGGCUUCCGGAGCUAACGCGUUAAGUCGACCGCCUGGGGAGUACGGCCGCAAGGUUAAAACUCAAAUGAAUUGACGGGGGCCCGCACAAGCGGUGGAGCAUGUGGUUUAAUUCGAUGCAACGCGAAGAACCUUACCUACUCUUGACAUCCAGAGAAUUUGCUAGAGAUAGCUUAGUGCCUUCGGGAACUCUGAGACAGGUGCUGCAUGGCUGUCGUCAGCUCGUGUUGUGAAAUGUUGGGUUAAGUCCCGCAACGAGCGCAACCCUUAUCCUUUGUUGCCAGCGAGUAAUGUCGGGAACUCAAAGGAGACUGCCGGUGAUAAACCGGAGGAAGGUGGGGAUGACGUCAAGUCAUCAUGGCCCUUACGAGUAGGGCUACACACGUGCUACAAUGGCAUAUACAAAGAGAAGCGAACUCGCGAGUGCAAGCGGACCUCAUAAAGUAUGUCGUAGUCCGGAUUGGAGUCUGCAACUCGACUCCAUGAAGUCGGAAUCGCUAGUAAUCGUAGAUCAGAAUGCUACGGUGAAUACGUUCCCGGGCCUUGUACACACCGCCCGUCACACCAUGGGAGUGGGUUGCAAAAGAAGUAGGUAGCUUAACCUUC
RNAcentral lists this ribosomal RNA (640 nucleotides) under Hafnia alvei. RNAcentral's name for it is "bacterial SSU rRNA". It matches the Rfam family "Bacterial small subunit ribosomal RNA", at positions 804 to 1443 of the family's 1533-position model. The record is from RNAcentral. Lineage: Bacteria; Pseudomonadati; Pseudomonadota; Gammaproteobacteria; Enterobacterales; Hafniaceae.